This is a long non-coding RNA of Aegilops tauschii subsp. strangulata, 810 nucleotides long. RefSeq lists it as uncharacterized. The record is from RefSeq and is a predicted model, not a curated record. Lineage: Eukaryota; Viridiplantae; Streptophyta; Magnoliopsida; Poales; Poaceae.
UCCCCUGCUGUCGCAAUCGCCCGCAGAACCCCAUCCAACCCAUCGCUCGCUCGCCAAGAUCCAAGGCAGCCGCGACGGCUGGGAGACUGGGAGGACGCGCGCGGGAGGAGAUCCAAGGAGGCCGAGGAAGGCCCCGGCGGCGCCACUGGCCUAGAAGCCCGUGGCCGGUGACGAUAACAGAGAGGGCGUCGCCAGCUCGGACACCCCGCUCGCCUUACCCGAGGGCGACCAGUACGACGAGGUGGCGGCGGGGAGGACGAGGCCAUGGCCAGCGCACAGGACAAGUGGGCGCAACAGGAGCAGGCCAGCCCGCCAUGGCAGUGGAUCGGGGGCGACGGCGGCUACUCCUUGGUUAAACUGCAUCUUUUUGUGGCGCUUGGGUACAUUCCCGAAUCAACUACAAAAUCCCUCACUACGCCCAUGCCCAGAGAUUAGCCAAUAUUUCGGAGAUGUGGUGGCUCAACUAAUUGGAGACAGAACAAGAUGAAGAAGGAAAGUACGGCCACAUCAGGGCGACCUGGGAGCAAGAGAUGAUCACCAUAAUCUAGGUGCUAAAGGCCUAGUGAAUUAUAACAUGGUUUUUUUAUAGAAAGGCAACUAAAACUUUUUACUUUCUUGGUCUAAUGUAGUUUUCCUAUGCUUAUAGUCUCUUUCCUGUAUAGAGAGACCAAGUUGAGUAGGCCAUCAGUGUUGUCUUUAUGGUGAAAUUAGUUAAAUGAUCAUAAGCUCCAAUUUUUUUGUACAAUUCUUAUGUGGAUCCAGGCUGUGAAACCUUCCGAUAUCGCCCCAAGAAGCUUACACAUCUGCUGA